RNAcentral lists this ribosomal RNA (447 nucleotides) under uncultured bacterium. RNAcentral describes it as "bacterial SSU rRNA". It matches the Rfam family "Bacterial small subunit ribosomal RNA", at positions 355 to 825 of the family's 1533-position model. The record is from RNAcentral.
UGGGGAAUCUUGGACAAUGGGCGCAAGCCUGAUCCAGCCAUGCCGCGUGAGUGAUGAAGGCCCUAGGGUUGUAAAACUCUUUCGUGGGGGACGAUAAUGACGGUACCCCAAGAAGAAGCUCCGGCUAACUUCGUGCCAGCAGCCGCGGUAAUACGAAGGGGGCUAGCGUUGUUCGGAUUUACUGGGCGUAAAGCGCGUGUAGGCGGGCUGGAAAGUUGGGGGUGAAAUCCCGAGGCUCAACCUCGGAACUGCCUCCAAAACUUCCAGCCUGGACUCAAGUAGAGGCAAGUGGAAUUGCGAGUGUAGAGGUGAAAUUCGUAGAUAUUCGCAGGAACACCAGUGGCGAAGGCGACUUGCUGGACUUGUAGUGACGCUGAGACGCGAAAGCGUGGGGAGCAAACAGGAUUAGAUACCCUUGUAGUCCCUGAGCGGGCUGGCAAGGCGCAU